This 450-nucleotide ribosomal RNA is filed under the name uncultured bacterium. Its description in RNAcentral is "bacterial SSU rRNA". It matches the Rfam family "Bacterial small subunit ribosomal RNA", at positions 958 to 1398 of the family's 1533-position model. The record is from RNAcentral.
AACGCGAAGAACCUUACCCAGACUUGACAUCGAUCGCAAGCCCUAGAAAUGGGGCCCUCUCUCACAAGGAGACGUGAAGACACUUGUUGCAUGGCUGUCGUCAGCUCGUGCCGUGAGGUGUACGGUUAAGUCCCGCAACGAGCGCAACCCUCGUUCCAUGUUGCCAGCAGGCCUUCGGGUGCUGGGGACUCAUGGGAGACUGCCGGGGUCAACUCGGAGGAAGGUGGGGAUGACGUCAAAUCAUCAUGCCCCUUAUGUCCAGGGCUGCACACAUGCUACAAUGGCCGGUACAGAGGGCUGCGAUACCGCGAGGUGGAGCGAAUCCCAAAAAGCCGGUCUCAGUUCGGAUCGGGGUCUGCAACUCGACCCCGUGAAGUCGGAGUCGCUAGUAAUCGCAGAUCAGCAACGCUGCGGUGAAUACGUUCCCGGGCCUUGUACACACCGAGUAUA